RNAcentral lists this ribosomal RNA (446 nucleotides) under uncultured bacterium. RNAcentral describes it as "bacterial SSU rRNA". It matches the Rfam family "Bacterial small subunit ribosomal RNA", at positions 354 to 796 of the family's 1533-position model. The record is from RNAcentral.
GUGAGGAAUAUUGCGCAAUGGACGAAAGUCUGACGCAGCCAUGCCGCGUGAAGGAUUGACGGCCCUAUGGGUUGUAAACUUCUUUUGUAUAGGAAUAAACCCUCGUUCGUGAACGAGGCUGAAGGUACUAUAAGAAUAAGCACCGGCUAACUCCGUGCCAGCAGCCGCGGUAAUACGGAGGGUGCAAGCGUUAUCCGGAUUUAUUGGGUUUAAAGGGUCCGUAGGCGGAUCGUUAAGUCAGUGGUGAAAUCCUACCGCUCAACGGUAGAACUGCCAUUGAUACUGGCGAUCUUGAGUAUGUAUGAAGUUGGUGGAAUGUGUGGUGUAGCGGUGAAAUGCUUAGAUAUCACACAGAACACCGAUUGCGAAGGCAGCUGACUAAUACACAACUGACGCUGAGGGACGAAAGUGUGGGGAUCAAACAGGAUUAGAUACCCGUGUAGUCC